GACGAACGCUGGCGGCGUGCUUAACACAUGCAAGUCGAACGGAAAGGCCCUGCUUUUGUGGGGUGCUCGAGUGGCGAACGGGUGAGUAACACGUGAGUAACCUGCCCUUGACUUUGGGAUAACUUCAGGAAACUGGGGCUAAUACCGGAUAGGAGCUCCUGCUGCAUGGUGGGGGUUGGAAAGUUUCGGCGGUUGGGGAUGGACUCGCGGCUUAUCAGCUUGUUGGUGGGGUAGUGGCUUACCAAGGCUUUGACGGGUAGCCGGCCUGAGAGGGUGACCGGCCACAUUGGGACUGAGAUACGGCCCAGACUCCUACGGGAGGCAGCAGUGGGGAAUAUUGCACAAUGGGCGGAAGCCUGAUGCAGCAACGCCGCGUGCGGGAUGACGGCCUUCGGGUUGUAAACCGCUUUCGCCUGUGACGAAGCGUGAGUGACGGUAAUGGGUAAAGAAGCACCGGCUAACUACGUGCCAGCAGCCGCGGUGAUACGUAGGGUGCGAGCGUUGUCCGGAUUUAUUGGGCGUAAAGGGCUCGUAGGUGGUUGAUCGCGUCGGAAGUGUAAUCUUGGGGCUUAACCCUGAGCGUGCUUUCGAUACGGGUUGACUUGAGGAAGGUAGGGGAGAAUGGAAUUCCUGGUGGAGCGGUGGAAUGCGCAGAUAUCAGGAGGAACACCAGUGGCGAAGGCGGUUCUCUGGGCCUUUCCUGACGCUGAGGAGCGAAAGCGUGGGGAGCGAACAGGCUUAGAUACCCUGGUAGUCCACGCUGUAAACGGUGGGUACUAGGUGUGGGGUCCAUUCCACGGGUUCCGUGCCGUAGCUAACGCUUUAAGUACCCCGCCUGGGGAGUACGGCCGCAAGGCUAAAACUCAAAGGAAUUGACGGGGCCCCGCACAAGCGGCGGAGCAUGCGGAUUAAUUCGAUGCAACGCGUAGAACCUUACCUGGGUUUGACAUGGAUCGGGAGCGCACAGAGAUGGGUGUGCCUCUUUUGGGGUCGGUUCACAGGUGGUGCAUGGCUGUCGUCAGCUCGUGUCGUGAGAUGUUGGGUUAAGUCCCGCAACGAGCGCAACCCUUGUUCACUGUUGCCAGCACGUUAUGGUGGGGACUCAGUGGAGACCGCCGGGGUCAACUCGGAGGAAGGUGGGGAUGACGUCAAGUCAUCAUGCCCCUUAUGUCCAGGGCUUCACGCAUGCUACAAUGGCUGGUACAGAGAGUGGCGAGCCUGUGAGGGUGAGCGAAUCUCGGAAAGCCGGUCUCAGUUCGGAUUGGGGUCUGCAACUCGACCUCAUGAAGUCGGAGUCGCUAGUAAUCGCAGAUCAGCAACGCUGCGGUGAAUACGUUCCCGGGGCU
This 1346-nucleotide ribosomal RNA is filed under the name uncultured bacterium. Its description in RNAcentral is "bacterial SSU rRNA". It matches the Rfam family "Bacterial small subunit ribosomal RNA", at positions 28 to 1381 of the family's 1533-position model. The record is from RNAcentral.